AGCCGGGAUCGCCCAUAAUCGUCCGGAAUGAUGAAGAUGGAAGCAAUGCCUGAAUUAACCGGUUAGGGAGGUAACGGCUGUGAGAUGUUGGUUAAACAGGCUACAAGAGUUUGCUACCUUUCAGGAUGUACACCUUGUUUCUGCUUCCCAUCUGCCAGAAAAGGGAGGCACAGUCUGUGGCAUCGUCUGUGGAGAAAAAACGGAGUUGCAAAAUCUUAAACAAGAAUCAAAACUGAAACAGACUUUUGCAGGCAGAAAGACUACUAAAUGGCCUUUAAACUUCUGCGUAAAUGUCUUACCUUCCAAGUUCCAACAGAGUUAAAGCAUGUGGCAGCGAAAAUUGUUCAACCUCGAUUUGGAAACGAGACGGAAGUCAACAAACUUGUAUAUACAUGUCAGCAAAACAUACCGAAAUCUUUGACAAAGAGUAGCUACGAUUACCACUCAAUCAAUGUGUUUUAAAGAACAGACCUUGAAGAUGCUGUGUGCAAAAUAUCAUCUAAAAAUGUCAACUAUCUAUCGCCAUAUGCAGUCUUGAACAUCAAAGUGAUCCA
This is a long non-coding RNA of Dreissena polymorpha, 554 nucleotides long. RefSeq lists it as uncharacterized. The transcript is spliced from 3 exons. The record is from RefSeq and is a predicted model, not a curated record. NCBI's taxonomy places the organism in Eukaryota, Metazoa, Mollusca, Bivalvia, Myida, Dreissenidae.